This is a non-coding RNA of Puccinia graminis f. sp. tritici, 97 nucleotides long. Lineage: Eukaryota; Fungi; Basidiomycota; Pucciniomycetes; Pucciniales; Pucciniaceae. The record is from Rfam.
GUGGGCGUCUUCUAAUGGUUAGGAAAUCUCGUUGUGGUCAUCUCCCUUCUGAAGGGGCAAUCCCGUGAAAAUGUCGGUUCGAUUCCGGCCGCCCACA